UUAAUAUAUUUUUUUAUUCAACAGGUUAGAAAAGAAGAACAACAACAACAUGUUAUAACAACCACUACCAUGAGUACCACCACCACCAACCACCACCAUCACCACCACCACCACUACGGCAACCACCACCCCCACCACACGGCUGCCACCACCACCACCACCACUACCGCCACCACCACCACCACCACCGCCACCACCACCACUCAGCCCACCGUCAUAGAGAGUGGGCGGCCUCACCCUUUCCUGCCCUCGUAUUUGCUGGACAAUGUGGAGGAUGGCGGGGGCAGCAGUGAGGCGGUGGCUGGCGGAGGAGGAGAGAAACAGGCGGAGAAGAACGUGAAGGUCCAUUUCAAUUCUUCCUUCAACGUUGUCAAGUACGGGGACGGCACUGACAUCAAGGAUCCGGAUGUGAAGG
Molecule: long non-coding RNA, 415 nt
Organism: Eriocheir sinensis (Chinese mitten crab)
Lineage: Eukaryota; Metazoa; Arthropoda; Malacostraca; Decapoda; Varunidae
Exons: 3
Source: RefSeq, a predicted model, not a curated record